RNAcentral lists this unclassified non-coding RNA (1755 nucleotides) under Hevea brasiliensis (rubber tree). Lineage: Eukaryota; Viridiplantae; Streptophyta; Magnoliopsida; Malpighiales; Euphorbiaceae. The record is from RNAcentral.
AAAAAGAACAAUCCAGCAAUUUGUCCAACAGAACAAACAUAACAAGAUAAUUGUUGCCACUAAGACACAGUACCAAGAUAGCCAUAGGCUAAUACUUAUUUCCAACUAACAACCACAAAGUACUCCAACGAUAACAAAUCCUUCGCCAUCAUCUUUAAGCAAAAUACUCUCAGAACUUCACACAAGGCAGAUAUGGAACUGCCAAGAUAUCUAACCUUAAUUGUGUAUUGUAGAAAAUUGCUCACAAGUAGCAGAACUCUUUUUGUCGAGAUCAUUUAUAAACCAUGGUAGAUUUACUGUUGCUUCUGCUCUAAACAGAUAUCCACCAAAGCCUGAUCCCUCAGCCGUACAAUUAUCAAUCCAACCAAGACAAGGUUUCUUAAUCCAAAAGCUCCCAAAUUCCUGCACCUACUAACCUCGGUCUCUACUCAACCAGUUUGAAUAGCUCGGCACAAGCUGCUCAAUAGCGAGUGCCAGCAACUAUCCAAGACCAUCCAUGCUGCAACAAAAACAUAAUAACCUUGGCCAUACUGCAAUAUGAUGAUUGAACUUCGUAGCAACAGGCUAGCCGUCAUUCUCCCCAGUAAUUGUUAACCAUCUAGUCUCACUAUCCACGUCACACAAAGAAACGAUCUUGCCACAGGGACUGUCCUUGAUACUGCUGAGGCAAUCCAACAGAUUGGUUAUUUGCUUUCUGGAUAUCUGACUGCAUGUGCAGAGAGGGCACCUGCUUCCCAGGGAAAGGAAAGCUAAUCCCGACUAAGCUACUAUUGCUUACAGAGUGAUAUGGUUGAGCUGAAUGAUUGUCCGAGUUAUUGUAAACAAUGCUCUGAUGUGCUGAAGGUAACUGAUAUCCAUUCAACCAGCUAUAAUCAUCCAUACGAGGGAUGGGGUUAUUUUCAUUUUUAAGUGUCGACGCAAAUGAAGAGUCAUCUACUUUGGAAGAAACAGAACCAAACCCUGGAGGUGGACCCAGAUGCCUACCAGGUCGGCACACUGGAUUUUUCUUCAUUCCUGUUUGAGUAAUUGCUAAAGAUUUCAUUGACAUGCUAUCGGAGAAAGCUACGGAGGGUGCAAGUGAACUGAAGGUAGAUGACAUAGCAGCCUCAGGAACCUGGAAGUGAAUAUUAUUUGCAGUGCUGAACUUCACAGACUGUGGCAAAGGAGCUGAAUGUGCUGCUGCAGGUGACACCAUUUCUGGAUGAUUUAGCAACUCAGCUUCUGUCAUUAGCCCAUUUCCUGUCAAGCUCAAGCCACCCAAUCCAUUCAUAAAAGCACCUUGCUCUACAGACCACAUUGAAGUACUUGGUUGGAUUGCCUGCAUAUAUUGGGUAUUAGUAAGAGAAAUGCUUGUUGGCAGCCUUGUAGUACUCCAACCAUUCUGCAACCUCAAUCCAUCGAGUGCAGAUGGAAAUGGCCCCAUCUCACAACACGAAUCAACACACUCCAUGCUAGCACCAGAAGAAGCAUUGACAACACUAAUACCAGCUACAGGAACCGCUGAGGUCAUAGCACUUGAAGAGAUGUCAUUAGAUUUUUCUAUCACUGAUGGCUUAAAAACAAUAACUUCGUCUUCUUCUUCACAUUCCACAUACAAUUGCUGCUUCGGCAGAAGAUCUCCCACAGUCAACUGUCCAGCAUCUGGACUUUCCAGUUCAAUACCACUUAAUUUGGUACCAUUUAAGCCAUUAAGUAGAUAAUUAUCAGAAGUUUGGGGCUCCAUACCAAUGACAAAUUUCUUUCCCCUUGUGUCAA